AGUGAACGCUGGCGGUAGGCCUAACACAUGCAAGUCGAACGGCAGCACAGUAAGAGCUUGCUCUUACGGGUGGCGAGUGGCGUACGGGUGAGGAAUACAUCGGAAUCUACUUUUUCGUGGGGGAUAACGUAGGUAAACUUACGCUAAUACCGCAUACGACCUACGGGUGAAAGCAUGGGAUCUUCGGACCUUGCGCGAUUGAAUGAGCCGAUGUCGGAUUAGCUAGUUGGCGGGGUAAAGGCCCACCAAGGCGACGAUCCGUAGCUGGUCUGAGAGGAUGAUAAGCCACACUGGAACUGAGACACGGUCCAGACUCCUACGGGAGGCAGCAGUGGGGAAUAUUGGACAAUGGGCGCAAGCAUGAUACAGCCAUACCGCGUGGGUGAAGAAGGCCUUCGGGUUGUAAAGACCUUUUGUUGGGAAAGAAAAGCAGCAGGUUAAUACCACGCUGUUCUGACGGUACCCAAAGAAUAAGCACCGGCUAACUUCGUG
This 492-nucleotide ribosomal RNA is filed under the name uncultured bacterium. RNAcentral describes it as "partial 16S ribosomal RNA". It matches the Rfam family "Bacterial small subunit ribosomal RNA", at positions 29 to 507 of the family's 1533-position model. The record is from RNAcentral.